CCUACGGGAGGCAGCAGUAGGGAAUUUUCGUCAAUGGGCGCAAGCCUGAACGAGCAAUGCCGCGUGAAGGUCAGUGCCCUAUGGGCGUUAAACUUCUUUUGUGCGGGAGCAAUAAUGGUCACGUGUGGCCAGACGAGAGUACCGUACGAAUAAGCAUCAGCUAACGCCGUGCCAGCAGCCGCGGUAAUACGGGGGAUGCAAGCGUUAUCCGGAUUUAUUGGGUUUAAAGGGUGCGUAGGCUGGGAGGUAAGUCAGCGGUGAAAUGCCCCCGCUCAACGGGGUGAAGUGCCAUUGAUACUGGCUUGCUGGAGUGCGGAUGCCGUGGGAGGAAUGUGUGGUGUAGCGGUGAAAUGCAUAGAUAUCACACAGAACACCGAUUGCGAAGGCAUCUCACGAAUCCGCGAUUGACGCUGAUGCACGAAAGCGUGGGUAUCAAACAGGAUUAGAUACCCGAGUAGUC
Molecule: ribosomal RNA, 460 nt
Filed under: uncultured bacterium
Lineage: Bacteria
Description: partial 16S ribosomal RNA
Rfam family: Bacterial small subunit ribosomal RNA
Source: RNAcentral